Transfer RNA from Cylindrobasidium torrendii FP15055 ss-10, 104 nucleotides. It matches the Rfam family "tRNA". Rfam says of the family: Transfer RNA (tRNA) molecules are approximately 80 nucleotides in length. Their secondary structure includes four short double-helical elements and three loops (D, anti-codon, and T loops). Further hydrogen bonds mediate the characteristic L-shaped molecular structure. tRNAs have two regions of fundamental functional importance: the anti-codon, which is responsible for specific mRNA codon recognition, and the 3' end, to which the tRNAs corresponding amino acid is attached (by aminoacyl-tRNA synthetases). tRNAs cope with the degeneracy of the genetic code in two manners: having more than one tRNA (with a specific anti-codon) for a particular amino acid; and 'wobble' base-pairing, i.e. permitting non-standard base-pairing at the 3rd anti-codon position. Lineage: Eukaryota; Fungi; Basidiomycota; Agaricomycetes; Agaricales; Physalacriaceae. The record is from Rfam.
GCCUCCUUGGCUCAGUUGGCUAGAGCGCAGGUCUCAUACACGUGUAUGAUCAAGCACAUGCUUGAGCAAUCCUGAGGUCGCAAGUUCGAGCCUUGCAGGGGGCA